UCCCUGGUGGUCCAGUGGUUAGGACUCUGUGCUGUCACUGCUGGGGCCUGAGUUCAAUUCCUGGUUGGGGAA
RNAcentral lists this transfer RNA (72 nucleotides) under Bos taurus (domestic cattle). It matches the Rfam family "tRNA". From Rfam's summary of the family: Transfer RNA (tRNA) molecules are approximately 80 nucleotides in length. Their secondary structure includes four short double-helical elements and three loops (D, anti-codon, and T loops). Further hydrogen bonds mediate the characteristic L-shaped molecular structure. tRNAs have two regions of fundamental functional importance: the anti-codon, which is responsible for specific mRNA codon recognition, and the 3' end, to which the tRNAs corresponding amino acid is attached (by aminoacyl-tRNA synthetases). tRNAs cope with the degeneracy of the genetic code in two manners: having more than one tRNA (with a specific anti-codon) for a particular amino acid; and 'wobble' base-pairing, i.e. permitting non-standard base-pairing at the 3rd anti-codon position. Lineage: Eukaryota; Metazoa; Chordata; Mammalia; Artiodactyla; Bovidae. RNAcentral also lists the same sequence under 4 other names. The record is from Rfam by way of RNAcentral.